GAAGGGGGCUAGCGUUGUUCGGAUUUACUGGGCGUAAAGCGCGUGUAGGCGGGUCGUUAAGUUGGGGGUGAAAUCCCGAGGCUCAACCUCGGAACUGCCUUCAAAACUGGCGACCUGGACUCAAGUAGAGGCAAGUGGAAUUGCGAGUGUAGAGGUGAAAUUCGUAGAUAUUCGCAGGAACACCAGUGGCGAAGGCGACUUGCUGGACUUGUAGUGACGCUGAGACGCGAAAGCGUGGGGAGCAAAC
Molecule: ribosomal RNA, 247 nt
Filed under: uncultured bacterium
Lineage: Bacteria
Description: partial 16S ribosomal RNA
Rfam family: Bacterial small subunit ribosomal RNA
Source: RNAcentral